UUAAAUGAACCCAAAAAGAGGGCUAUUACUGUUAAUAAUACUAUUGAAUGAUUAAUUCCAUUUAAA
Molecule: transfer RNA, 66 nt
Filed under: Agapetus fuscipes
Lineage: Eukaryota; Metazoa; Arthropoda; Insecta; Trichoptera; Glossosomatidae
Description: tRNA-Asn
Source: RNAcentral